This 77-nucleotide transfer RNA is filed under the name Thermoanaerobacteraceae bacterium. RNAcentral describes it as "tRNA-Ala". It matches the Rfam family "tRNA". Rfam says of the family: Transfer RNA (tRNA) molecules are approximately 80 nucleotides in length. The record is from RNAcentral. Lineage: Bacteria; Bacillati; Bacillota; Clostridia; Thermoanaerobacterales; Thermoanaerobacteraceae.
GGGUCAGUAGUUCAGUUGGGAGAACGCUUGGCUUGCAACCAAGAUGUCGUGGGUUCGAAUCCCACCUGUAUCCACCA